GUUCACACGGCGAGACCGCGGACGGCUCAUUAAAUCAGUCGUGGUCCAAAUGGGCCAGUGCAAAUCCUACUUGGAUAACUGUGGUAAUUCCAGAGCUAAUACAUGCAACUGAUAUCCCGAAGGCGGUGUUUGGGCUUGCUUGCCUUGCGCUGCGCUGCUCUGACGGAUGCUUUUAUUAGACCAAGCCGCUGAGGACUUGAGGGUUCGCGCUCUCUUGUCUGACUCGUGUGAUGGUGACUCUGGAUAACCAAAUUCUGACAAGCGCACGUACUUCUCUUCUGAGCGAGACGGCGCUGCCACUUUCGAGUGUCUGCCUUAUCAGCUAUCAACCGUUCGUUAUGCGCGACCGAUGGCUUUGACGGGUAACGGGGAAUCAGGGUUCGAUUCCGGAGAGGCAGCCUGAGAGACGGCUACCACGUCCAAGGACGGCAGCAGGCACGCAAAUUACCCAAUCCCAGCAAAUGGGGGAGGUAGUGACGAAAUCUAACGAUGCGGGCGCCCUUUCUGGGGCCCCGC
Molecule: ribosomal RNA, 516 nt
Filed under: Eulimnogammarus verrucosus
Lineage: Eukaryota; Metazoa; Arthropoda; Malacostraca; Amphipoda; Eulimnogammaridae
Description: SSU rRNA
Rfam family: Eukaryotic small subunit ribosomal RNA
Source: RNAcentral